This 464-nucleotide ribosomal RNA is filed under the name Vreelandella stevensii. RNAcentral's name for it is "partial 16S ribosomal RNA". It matches the Rfam family "Bacterial small subunit ribosomal RNA", at positions 338 to 795 of the family's 1533-position model. The record is from RNAcentral. Lineage: Bacteria; Pseudomonadati; Pseudomonadota; Gammaproteobacteria; Oceanospirillales; Halomonadaceae.
CCUACGGGCGGCAGCAGUGGGGAAUAUUGGACAAUGGGCGAAAGCCUGAUCCAGCCAUGCCGCGUGUGUGAAGAAGGCCUUCGGGUUGUAAAGCACUUUCAGUGGGGAAGAAAGCCUUGGGGCCAAUACCCUCGAGGAAGGACAUCACCCACAGAAGAAGCACCGGCUAACUCCGUGCCAGCAGCCGCGGUAAUACGGAGGGUGCGAGCGUUAAUCGGAAUUACUGGGCGUAAAGCGCGCGUAGGCGGUCUGAUAAGCCGGUUGUGAAAGCCCCGGGCUCAACCUGGGAACGGCAUCCGGAACUGUCAGGCUAGAGUGCAGGAGAGGAAGGUAGAAUUCCCGGUGUAGCGGUGAAAUGCGUAGAGAUCGGGAGGAAUACCAGUGGCGAAGGCGGCCUUCUGGACUGACACUGACGCUGAGGUGCGAAAGCGUGGGUAGCAAACAGGAUUAGAUACCCGGUAGUC